CUCCUCCUUGUGUCCGACCUUUGUAAUUAUGUUAUUUCUUAAACUGUUUUUAUUGUGUUGUGACUAGACCUAGCAAAGUUAGGAAUUGUGCUGUAUUAAUUCGCCUUAGCUUGUGUGUGUAUUUUUUUAAUUAGCCGCUCUAAGCAAGCUAAUACGCCCUUUUCGCGCCAUUUUUUAUUGCUGUUUAUGUUAACUUGUCUUUCAUUUUUUGUGCAUUUUUCAAUUGUUAGGGGGAAACGUGGAUGUAAAUUCGGGACAGCAGUGUCAAUUUUGUAUUUCUGUCUAUCAGGUAUUGUGCUGGUUUCUCAUUUUAUCUUGUUCUUUUCUUGUUUUAUUUUACGUGCUGUGGGGGGAGGUAUCACGCCCACUCAGACUGCCGUGGGGCGUGGCUUAGGAGGAAACAUGGAUGGAAAUUAUGGACAGCAGUGUCAUUUUUGUCUUUUGUCUACCAGUCGCAGGUAACGCAGCUGAGGUGCGCUUUCAUUGAGCGAGUCAUCCACUGCAUCAACGGGAACAGGACAGAUGUUGGAGCCAUUGACGUCUGAAAACAAAACAGCAAUUAGUGUCACACUAUGUACUUCUAAAAUUGAAUUUUUCUGUCGCUAAAUGAAAGAUCAUCUGGAGGUCUUACUUGUUAUCUUGUUGUGGUCGAGGUGUAGGUGCUCAAGGCCGGAGGGAAUGAGGGGAACUUCUGUCAGCUGAUUAUAAGAUAGCUGCAAGUCCAGAAUGCUUGAGCGAUUGAACACAUCUUUGGGGACUCCACCACUACCAAGUUUGUUGUUGUUGAGCCUCAGAAAUGCCACCUUGGGUAGACCCUUAAAAUAGCCUGCUGGGAUUUUGUCAAUGUUGUUGCCAUCAAGAUAAAGCUGGGUGGUGCUGGGUGGUAAUCCAAGAGGCAUUUUACUAAGCUGGUUCUUGGCCAAAUUGAUUUGAACCAGGUUGCUGAGACCUUUGAGACUGACCUCCGUCACUGCAUCGUCCAUCAGUUUAUUCCCUUGGAGGUCCAGGAGGCUAAGCUUCUCCAGGCCAACAAAGACACCGGCUGGGAUCUUGGAGAUCCGAUUGCGGGACAGACGGAGGUGCUCCAGGCUCGCUGGCAGGGGAGAUGGAACUGAAGACAACAGGUUGUCAUCCAUAUACAGGGUUACUGGAGCCUAUCCCUGCUAAUGCUGGGCAAAGGUGAUAUUCUCCAUGGACAGUUUGCUAGUUUAUUGUUGGAGUCUUAUAAUCCCCCUUCUGUCUGUUAAGUGUUUAACAAUGGAUGUAUUGGCUUUUUAUUUUAUUUAAAAUAUUUAUUUAUUUAUUUAUUUAACCUUACAGGCUUGGUAAAUCCUCUGAUGUUGACAAAAACCAAAAGUGUGGCCAAUACCCGGAAUGAAAAAGUCAGUGAUAAACAGUUUCUGGCCAAUGGUUUGGGUUUACCUGUAUGCAAUUCUCCUCUCUGUACACUAAAUCCUCUACUGCUUGCCAGUGUCAUUCCCAAAGUCGUAAAUGUGACUUUGGUUGUCUUCUUCUGUCAAUAUUUUGUAAGUCAAGAACAGAAAAGCUGAUUUCAUUGCAUUAAGAUUACUUUUGGCAGCAAGAUUCACACUGCUCUGAACGCUGUAACUGCAACACAAAAGUCAAAUCCCUUUGUGUUUCAGAUCUGUACAAAAGACCAAACACUGAGUUUGAGAGGAAUACAGCUUAGAGGGAUCCAAUAAACCUGAUGGACCAAAGAUGCAUAAAAAUCCA
Long non-coding RNA from Oryzias melastigma (Indian medaka), 1734 nucleotides. RefSeq lists it as uncharacterized. NCBI's taxonomy places the organism in Eukaryota, Metazoa, Chordata, Actinopteri, Beloniformes, Adrianichthyidae. The record is from RefSeq and is a predicted model, not a curated record. The transcript has 3 exons.